CAAGGAACUGUUUCCCUAAAAGGUAAGUCCACUGGGACAGCGGAGUGCACGCAUGAGCAGAGGAGAUACGUGUAAUAUAAGUGCCCACUGGUUUUCCUCAAGGCCCUAUCGCAUAUGGCAUUCACCAUGCCCCAUGUGCACAAGAUUCAACUAUACCCAUGAUGCAUGAUGCCCGGAAGCUCAACGAGAUGCAAACCAAAAGCACGGUGGCCGAUUCAAAUGUCUUUGGCAACAUGAUUCAGCAGCACACAGUUUGGGAAGCAUGAAAACAAGACAAUACCAUGAGAUGAUCAUUCCGGAUGAGGAAACCGAUUCAGAGAGAUGAAGCAACACCUACAGGGACUGCAGCUGACCGAUGGCUGCCACAGUGGGGAAACAACUUUAGGUCCGAGGAAGACGGUGAUAGAAAAACCAUGACGCGCCCAGAUCGGAGGAGGCUUUAGAUCAUCAAGGCUGCGGUCUGAUUUUUUUCUUCUAAGAAGCACUA
Molecule: long non-coding RNA, 487 nt
Filed under: Equus caballus (horse)
Lineage: Eukaryota; Metazoa; Chordata; Mammalia; Perissodactyla; Equidae
Description: lncRNA (ENSECAG00000048027.1)
Source: RNAcentral